Molecule: ribosomal RNA, 497 nt
Filed under: uncultured bacterium
Lineage: Bacteria
Description: partial 16S ribosomal RNA
Rfam family: Bacterial small subunit ribosomal RNA
Source: RNAcentral
GAUGAACGCUGGCGGCGUGCCUAAUACAUGCAAGUCGAGCGAACGGACGAGAAGCUUGCUUCUCUGAUGUUAGCGGCGGACGGGUGAGUAACACGUGGAUAACCUACCUAUAAGACUGGGAUAACUUCGGGAAACCGGAGCUAAUACCGGAUAAUAUUUUGAACCGCAUGGUUCAAAAGUGAAAGACGGUCUUGCUGUCACUUAUAGAUGGAUCCGCGCUGCAUUAGCUAGUUGGUAAGGUAACGGCUUACCAAGGCAACGAUGCAUAGCCGACCUGAGAGGGCGAUCGGCCACCCUGGAACUGAGACACGGUCCAGACUCCUACGGGAGGCAGCAGUAGGGAAUCUUCCGCAAUGGGCGAAAGCCUGACGGAGCAACGCCGCGUGAGUGAUGAAGGUCUUCGGAUCGUAAAACUCUGUUAUUAGGGAAGAACAUAUGUGUAAGUAACUGUGCACAUCUUGACGGUACCUAAUCAGAAAGCCACGGCUAACUACGUG